RNAcentral lists this unclassified non-coding RNA (253 nucleotides) under uncultured fungus. Its description in RNAcentral is "partial contains small subunit ribosomal RNA, internal transcribed spacer 1, and 5.8S ribosomal RNA". The stretch from base 1 to 73 matches the Rfam family "Eukaryotic small subunit ribosomal RNA", at positions 1759 to 1831 of the family's 1831-position model. The record is from RNAcentral. Lineage: Eukaryota; Fungi.
CCAAACUUGGUCAUUUAGAGGAAGUAAAAGUCGUAACAAGGUUUCCGUAGGUGAACCUGCGGAAGGAUCAUUACAAAUGUGUCUCUCUGUUGACGUUGAAAUGUGCGGGGCGGCGCGCACGCGGUCAUGCUGUGGCCGCCGCCAGUUAUUUCACGAUAUUCUUUCAUUGUCGAUCACACAUAAUAUUAUAUUUUUAAAUACACCGACUUUUAACAAUGGAUCUCUUGGCUCUUGCAUCGAUGAAGAACGCAGC